This is a long non-coding RNA of Ictalurus punctatus (channel catfish), 1424 nucleotides long. NCBI's taxonomy places the organism in Eukaryota, Metazoa, Chordata, Actinopteri, Siluriformes, Ictaluridae. The record is from Ensembl.
AACUUGCAUUUGAUAUGCAACAAUUGAUGCUAUUAAUCCAGCAAAUAAAACUGUAUACUGUAUGUUACAGCAUUUUUUUCUGCUAUUUUUAAGCUUUCUAACAGAACUACAUCCAGCAAUGAUAUCACUCGAAAGGAUACAUCUAGAGUAGAGCAUUCUUGCAGGUACAAUUUACAAACUCGAUAAAAAAAAAAAAAAAAUUUAAAUGUACAAAACAGACAAGGAGCUUGAGAAAAAAUGCUGACACUGAGAAAGACCUAUUGCCCCUGGGGUAAUCUCAAAUGGCACAUGAACAUUAUUCUAGACCUCCACUAUAGGAAAUAGGAAAGUACUGAAAGCCAUCAGUUCUAAAUGUAGCACAUAAUACUCACACCCACCAUGGAGCCAUGUAUCCUGUGGCUUCAAAUGCUUGCUCCCUAUAGGCUGUUAGGUGAUUUGAUGAGGUGCUCAGACACCAGCGUUUCUUAAGCACAAGUGGGAAAAGAGAGCCUAUACCCAUUCAUACGCUCUGUGCAAUGAGGCUGGUGAAAUAUGUUUUCUUCUGCAGAUUACUGAACAGCAGGGGAUAGAGAGCAGAACAGAGGCCAUGAUCCUAGUUCUUCAUUCUUGAAUACGAUGCAGAGGAAACAGUGGAGGAUGCUGGGAGAGAAAUACAACAUAUGUAAAGAGCAUAUAUUGAGAGAAUACACAGCUGGACUGCAUGUACUGUAGGAGAAGGAGAAGGAGUUGAAGGUGGAGCUGGAGCCUGUCCCAGGAACACUGGACAUCAUGUGGGAAUACACUCGGAAUGGAUUGCCAGUCCAUCGCAAGACACCAUGCAUACACACAUUCACACACAAUUUAAUGCAGCUAAUUCACCUACCAGCAUGUUUUUGGAGAUGGAAGAAAUUAGAGGAAACCCACAUAGAGAAUAUGCAAAUCUCUGCAGGUUUUAAAAUCAGACCAACUGUAAAUGAUACAUUAUGCUCAAGCCCAGGAAGCUAGGAAGAUGCAUUGUUUUUUUGCUUUGUUUUAUUUUUAACAGUGGAAUUACACAAGAUUUUGAACUUUGUGGUUUUGACUUCCAGGUACAUGCGACACUUUUGCCAGCAGCAAAAAGAUCCAAUUAAUAAAUGCCACAAUUCCAGAAACAAAGCAAUACUUCUACACUCCUAAACUCAGAUUCACUAAGCAUGCAUUCCUACUAGCCAUAUUAAUUUCCGCAGUCAUUUUAGUAAAUUUAGACUUUAAAAGAGCUGCAUGUAAGGUCUUCCUUCCAAACCAAACAGAACAGUAGACCUCUUUACAAUGAUGGGCUGUUUUUUUCCACUUGAUGGGUUUAACAACAGGGUAGAGACUCUGUAGAAGUCUCCAGUACAGGAUGUUGUUAACUUAAAUAUCCUUUCCCUGAUAUAUCAUUCAAAUUUCCUAUAUACAGUAUGCAU